UAACAAUCAAGUACAACUUGUGAUUGAACUUCAAUUCCAAAGCUAUCCAAUUCCAAGAUCACAAAUUAGAUUCAUUAGUACAUCUCUUUCAAAUUCAGUAUUAUUAUGAUUUUUAUCUUUUUUUGAAUGACAAGAUCUAAUAUUAGAUAAUUUAGAGGCUUUUUUGAUAGAAUUUUGGUCCAUGCAUGAUAAACAUGAUGCAACUUAUGUUGCAACAAUCAAGAUUGGUAUUUUGUGACAAAAAAAUUGAUCCAUAAUAUUAUAUGCUUCAUAAUUUGGACAACUUGUAAUUAAUAUCAAGUAGAAUGAUGUUGCACUUAUUAGCCAAUUUUUCUAUAGAUUAUAAUAUGAGGUAAAGAAAUUGAUGCUCAACUUAUCUGAUUAUUAAACAUUGAGUC
Molecule: long non-coding RNA, 398 nt
Filed under: Physcomitrium patens
Lineage: Eukaryota; Viridiplantae; Streptophyta; Bryopsida; Funariales; Funariaceae
Description: long non-coding RNA (PPAT_LNC007404)
Source: RNAcentral